This 179-nucleotide ribosomal RNA is filed under the name uncultured Glomus. RNAcentral's name for it is "partial 18S ribosomal RNA". It matches the Rfam family "Eukaryotic small subunit ribosomal RNA", at positions 569 to 750 of the family's 1831-position model. Lineage: Eukaryota; Fungi; Glomeromycota; Glomeromycetes; Glomerales; Glomeraceae. The record is from RNAcentral.
AGCAGCCGCGGUAAUUCCAGCUCCAAUAGCGUAUAUUAAAGUUGUUGCAGUUAAAAAGCUCGUAGUUGAAUUUCGGGAUCAAUACGUCGGUCGUGCUUCGGUACGUACUGGCGUCAUUGAUUUCNCCCUUCUGACGAACCAUGAUGUCAGUUAACUGGUGUCAUGGGAAAUCAGGACUG